CUGGUAACAUCCAGCUGAUGGUUCUAUUGUUUUAUUUAUUUGGGUGGGGGUUUGGUUUUAUUUUCCAGAGUUUUAGUGAUUUAUUUUUUUGGGACUCACAGUAUUACCUCUUUUCUGGGCUUAAUAGCUGGGACCACAUCCUGUUUUCCUCUGAUGUUUUUACAGGCAGAUAUGGAGGUACCUGCUAGAAGCAUCAGAGUGCCCCUGCAGCACGUGGAGCAGGAUGAAUCCAAAGGCAGGAGGAGUUUUCUUGGAUCUUGGCUGACAGCUGUAAAGGAGCACUGCUGUCCUGCACCCCACAAAGGAUUUCUUCGCCAAAAAGAGGACAGCCCACCAUCCCUAAGCUCUGCUUUCCUGUACCCUGUGUCAAGAAUGGAGGAGGUGCUGGGAGCAGCAGGGUAUCUCCCUUUAGCACAGUCUGUGAUGGGAUGCAAGGCAUGGCUGGAGGAGGAAGGAAAAGCUUUUCCAACCUCCCUCCAAGCUUUGUGUGUUUGCACAGAGCUGGAUGUUGGAAUCAGAGAGCAGCCACCACAAGGAAAGGUUGGGAAAGAAAGGAUGUGGACUUUGUGGCUUAGCCACGGAUGUCAGGCCCCUCACAACAUCCAUCUGUGCUGCAGAAAAAGAACCCCAGUGCUGGGGAGGAAACACCAGCUGCCACCACAGGAAGGAAGGGAUCCCGUGACUGACCCCGUGACCCUUCUUGCCUCCUCAGCUCUUGAGAGGCAUCUGUUGGACUGAAGAUUUAAUAAGGAAUUUGAAGAUUAAAAUCCUAUCAGUUGUCUCCUGCAGCAAUGAAUUGACCAUGUUACAAG
Long non-coding RNA from Camarhynchus parvulus, 812 nucleotides. RefSeq lists it as uncharacterized. NCBI's taxonomy places the organism in Eukaryota, Metazoa, Chordata, Aves, Passeriformes, Thraupidae. The record is from RefSeq and is a predicted model, not a curated record. The transcript has 4 exons.